Molecule: ribosomal RNA, 311 nt
Filed under: Escherichia coli
Lineage: Bacteria; Pseudomonadati; Pseudomonadota; Gammaproteobacteria; Enterobacterales; Enterobacteriaceae
Description: partial 23S ribosomal RNA
Rfam family: Bacterial large subunit ribosomal RNA
Source: RNAcentral
GGUUAAGCGACUAAGCGUACACGGUGGAUGCCCUGGCAGUCAGAGGCGAUGAAGGACGUGCUAAUCUGCGAUAAGCGUCGGUAAGGUGAUAUGAACCGUUAUAACCGGCGAUCUCCGAAUGGGGAAACCCAGUGUGUUUCGACACACUAUCAUUAACUGAAUCCAUAGGUUAAUGAGGCGAACCGGGGGAACUGAAACAUCUAAGUACCCCGAGGAAAAGAAAUCAACCGAGAUUCCCCCAGUAGCGGCGAGCGAACGGGGAGGAGCCCAGAGCCUGAAUCAGUGUGUGUGUUAGUGGAAGCGUCUGGAAA